CCCGGAACCGGACCCUUCCCAUUCAAAUUCCAAAUCAUUACUAACAUUUAAUGAGCCGGCCUUGAACACCGUGUAACCGUCAGUAUAAAAGGUAACUUUACCAAUUUUGACAGUUCUACCUGCCCAUUUGAAUUUUGAGCGCCUUCCGAACUCUCUGACUUUCUGAACUUUCUCCUUUCUUCUGCAAUUAAUUAACAAUGGCUUCCCAGGAUUCUGCACAAGGCUCUCCUAUACUGGUAACCCCACUCACAAUCGUUCCACCAAAUCCUACCACUGCUGCUCAUGAAGGAGCCUCGACACUGAACCCAAAGGGGUCGAAAUCUGAUAAGAAUCCUCCCCCAAAAAAUCCCAACACUCCCUCUGAAUACUACAGGAGUACUGAGCGAUUCUCGCAUGCCAAUACUCCCUCGAUCGUCACAGAGGCUGAACUAAAGAGGAUUCGGUCUCGAUAUCACAUCCC
This 460-nucleotide long non-coding RNA is filed under the name Panax ginseng (ginseng). Its description in RNAcentral is "long non-coding RNA (PGIN_LNC015416)". Lineage: Eukaryota; Viridiplantae; Streptophyta; Magnoliopsida; Apiales; Araliaceae. The record is from RNAcentral.